Small nucleolar RNA from Aspergillus bombycis, 94 nucleotides. It matches the Rfam family "A. fumigatus snoRNA Afu_335". The record is from Rfam. NCBI's taxonomy places the organism in Eukaryota, Fungi, Ascomycota, Eurotiomycetes, Eurotiales, Aspergillaceae.
UCGCAUGAUGAACAUCCUGAUAGGGACAUCAGAUGCAAAGCAAAUGAUGUGACCAGGAAAAGAGAAUUUUAGUAGAUGCCUCUAGUAUCUGAAG